AUGAGGAAGAAAACUGCAGAGAAAUUUCCUACACUUGAAAACAGUAAAAGUAAUUUUGCAGUGACCCUCACUUGUGCCUAUUUUUUGUCUUUCCCAACAGGGAUAAGAGUGGAGAUGCAGGUGGAGCAGAGUCCCGGGGUCCUGAUCUUACAGGAGGGGAGAAAUUCCUCUCUGACGUGCAAUACUUCUGUCGCCAUGGCCGGUGUGCAGUGGUUCCAACAAAAUCCUGGAGGACGUCUCAUAUUCCUGUUUUAUAUAGCUUCAGGAGUACAACAAAAAGGAAGAUUAGAAGCCACAGUCAGUACCAAGGAACGUUAUAGCCACUUAUACAUCAGAGACUCCCAGCCUGGGGACUCAGCCACUUUCUUCUGUGCUGUAGAAGCACAGUGCCCUUAA
Loxodonta africana (African savanna elephant) is the source of this 396-nucleotide non-coding RNA. The record is from the annotation of a RefSeq genome assembly. NCBI's taxonomy places the organism in Eukaryota, Metazoa, Chordata, Mammalia, Proboscidea, Elephantidae.